RNAcentral lists this ribosomal RNA (254 nucleotides) under uncultured bacterium. Its description in RNAcentral is "partial 16S ribosomal RNA". It matches the Rfam family "Bacterial small subunit ribosomal RNA", at positions 524 to 776 of the family's 1533-position model. The record is from RNAcentral.
GACGAACCGUGCGAACGUUGUUCGGAUUCACUGGGCAUAAAGGGCGCGUAGGCGGAUGGUCAAGUCGGGGGUGAAAUCUUUCAGCUUAACUGGAAAAGUGCCUCCGAUACUGAUCGUCUCGAGGGAGGUAGGGGCAUGUGGAACUUCCGGUGGAGCGGUGAAAUGCGUAGAUAUCGGAAGGAACGCCGGUGGCGAAAGCGGACGUGCUGGACCUCUUCUGACGCUGAGGCGCGAAAGCUAGGGGAGCAAACGGG